GCCAGUAUAGUGGAUAUGACCCUCGGCAUGUAACUGAGUGGGCUCGGGUUCGAAUCCCGGUUAAGGCA
This is a non-coding RNA of Trichonephila clavata, 68 nucleotides long. The record is from the annotation of a GenBank genome assembly. Lineage: Eukaryota; Metazoa; Arthropoda; Arachnida; Araneae; Nephilidae.